CCCUUAGAUGUUCUGGGCCGCACGCGCGCUACAAUGGUCUUCACAAACGGAUGCAUUCUCGAAGGAGAAUGCCAAUCUUGGAAUCUAUGCCUUGGUCGGGACAGUUGCUUGCAAUUUUUCGACUCGAACCAGGAAUUCCUUGUAAUCGUGAUUCAUCACAUCACGAUGAAUACGUCCCUGCCCUUUGUACACACCGCCCGUCGCUCCUACCGAUCGAAGAGUUAGGUGAAUUGUUUUGAUCGAUAAGAUUUGACUAUGGUCAACUCUCGUUGUGAAAUUCUGUGAAUCUGACUGUUUAGAGGAAGGAAAAGUCGUAACA
This 319-nucleotide ribosomal RNA is filed under the name uncultured eukaryote. RNAcentral describes it as "partial 18S ribosomal RNA". It matches the Rfam family "Eukaryotic small subunit ribosomal RNA", at positions 1470 to 1796 of the family's 1831-position model. The record is from RNAcentral.